CAAGUCAUGCCACUGCAUUCCAGCCUGGGUGCCAGAUUGACACUCUGUCGCAAAAAGAAAAGCCAGGUAGGCAACAUCCAAGGGAUGUUUUCCAAGUUCCCGUUUCAUCAUUGACUCUUGACAGGUGGAGGCACCUGGAAGAUGACAAAAGUAGGGAGGAGGAGGACCUGGAGGAGGACGCUUGUGUCUCCUAGGGGAUGAGGAAGGUCCACAGAGGAGAAAGAGAAUCAGCUACAGCCACCAAGGCAGGAACCAAGAACCUCUUCAGAAGAUGACUGGAAUAAAGAAGACAAGUCCGACAUGGAACAUGGAGCAGUCAUGCGCGCUGAUGAUCAAAAGUCGUUUCUGGACAACACAAGUGAACAAGCCUAUUUAAGAUAAAUUCUCCUACACGUCCUUGUACCUACUCCUUGCCCUCUGCCUCAAGGUCAGAGAACAGCUGCGUUCAGCUUAUUCUCCCCUGAAGCCUUCCGACCUUUCAGAAGGCCUGCUCCUUUCCCAACAGUUUCUCCCACCACUCUGACCGAUUACCUAUACAUCUACAUUUCAUCAGCUGAAAUAUCACACAUCAUGUAGCUUCUGGAAAGUCCUCUGUACAUUCACGAGAGUUGGAAAGUAAAAAAAAAGGUAAAAACUUCAAGUGUUUUUAUAAUCAGUUGUGUUGCAGAAUCUCAUGCAAUCUUAGAAAAGUUUAAAAAAACCAUGUGCGUUAGACAACAGGAUGGGAGAUGAACGCUGUGAACAUGAACAUUCUGGUUUACUGUUGUGUAGAAGAUGGAAUUCAUACUGCAGCUGUAUUUGGUGAGCCCGAUAAGUGGAGCAAGCCUGUGGGAGAAAUAGCCUUAUCAGGGGUUUUACAUACUGUUUUUCUAAUUCUUAACAACAGUCAUAAAAGGUAUAUAUAAUUUUUCCCCAUGAGGAAAACAGGCUUGUGGUUAAUAAGUACAUUUCCCUAGGUCCCAUGACUCGUAAGUGUUGGAGCUAAAGUUCAACCUCAAGUCUGACUUCAAAGCUCACGUUCUUCAGUAAACCACAAUUAUGGCUUAACUCACUGGAAAUGUAGAAAAGGACCCAAUGUAUGUAUGUGAAAGAGCUUUCUAAAAAACCAACAUGUGGUGGCUCAUGCCUGUAAUCGCAGCACUUUGGGAGGCUGGUGCAGGCGGAUUGCCUGAGGCCAGGAGUUCAAGACCAGCCUGGUCAACAUGCUGAAACCCCAUCUCUACUAAAAAUACAAAAAUUAGCCAGGCGUGGUGGCGGGCGCCUGUAAUCCCAGCUACUCAGGAGGCUGCAGCAGGAGAAUCGCUUGGACCUAGGACGGGGAGGUUGCAGUGAGCCGAGAUUGCACCACUACACUCCAGCCUGAGCAACAGAGUGAGACACAGUUAUCUCAAAAAAAAAAUAAUAAUUAAAAAAAUAAAAAAGCGACAUUCAAGUAACAGUGACUGUACUGAUUACUGAUAUCCAUAGGAUUGUGACUUGACUAUCCAUUUGGAUAAUGAAAUUUUAUCCCUCCAAAAGGUAAAUAUAAACUUUGAAGAGUUUGUAUUUGAAAUGUGGUCUUCGCUUGAUGUGUCCAAAUUCAGUGGAAAAAAAAAGUCACUCAACUCUGAUAAUGUUUUGCAUUCAUCCAUUUGCACAGUACAGUUAUAUUCAAUAUAGAAAAUAUGGAAAUGUUUUUAUUUUACUUAUUUUUAAAAAUAGGUGAUAUAAUUUACAUGAUACAAAACUUGGGUGACAGAUGUGUAUUACAGUGAAAGUUACCUGUGCCACCCAAUCCUCCCUCCAACACCCCCACUCUGCCCAGCGCUGUCUAGCCAGUUUCCCUCCCUAGAUACAACCACUAUAACCAGUUAUUUGUAUAUAUUUCCAGAGAUAUUCUAAAGCAAAGUUUUAAAAAGAAAUAUGAAAUUUCCUUAUUAAGACAACUAGUGAGAGAUUCUUGAUUUGUCCUUUCCUGUUUUAUUUAUACACUGAUAAAAUCUGACAAAAGAGGCGCAAAGGUAGAACAUAACCAAGAAUUAUCAGUGAUCUGCCAGAAGCAGGAGUAAUUCCCACCAACCCAAACAUAAGGCUGGCGAUAAGGAAGGCCAGUGAGGCCAGGCAGAAGACAGCAAGCAGAGGUUAUCUCAAGGUAGGGGAUAGAUGAUUUUUAUUUUUCUCCUUCAGUGUAGAAUUAUAGUGCUCACCCACAUGCCUGCUUCAUCUCUGCUUCUGCCCAUGGAGGAUUUUUGUUCUUUGAUCCCUACAGUUAAUGGUCUACCAGGCCAAAACAUUUUAUUGCAGAUGAGUUGCCCUUCAUUGUUGUCUUCCCCAUCAUGGGCUGGGGAGGCGGGGAGGCAAUGCAUUCCAGAUGGUACAUUACAAGAUGGUGGAGCCUCUGUCAACCUGGGUCCUUGAGUGACCAUGUGAAGCAAAGCCCCUGGCGAUUCACAAUGGGUGUAUAGUAUGAGCAAGAAAUAAACCUUUGUUGCAUUAAGUCAA
Long non-coding RNA from Homo sapiens (human), 2481 nucleotides. RefSeq lists it as uncharacterized. The record is from RefSeq and is a predicted model, not a curated record. The transcript has 2 exons. Lineage: Eukaryota; Metazoa; Chordata; Mammalia; Primates; Hominidae.